RNAcentral lists this non-coding RNA (28 nucleotides) under Mus musculus (house mouse). Lineage: Eukaryota; Metazoa; Chordata; Mammalia; Rodentia; Muridae. The record is from RNAcentral.
UAAUGUGCAUCCAGGACCAACAGUGUCU